GCCCUUGUAGUUCAAUGGACAGAAUGCGAGCUUCCGGAGCUUGAGAUAGAGGUUCGACUCCUCUCAAGGGCA
This 72-nucleotide transfer RNA is filed under the name Candidatus Nealsonbacteria bacterium CG09_land_8_20_14_0_10_42_14. Its description in RNAcentral is "tRNA-Arg". It matches the Rfam family "tRNA". Rfam says of the family: Transfer RNA (tRNA) molecules are approximately 80 nucleotides in length. The record is from RNAcentral. Lineage: Bacteria; Candidatus Nealsoniibacteriota.